AUCAGCUCCCUCCUGAGUCACCCCAUCUGUGCCCUUCAGGAGUGCCAGCAUCAUACCCAACCGUCCAGAUCCUUCCAUACCUCAAGGUAUGACCAGCUGUUCCCUUCAUGUGCCGUCACACCUCUCCGUCUGCACAGGCCAUUCCCUCUGCCUCAGAAGCCAACCCUGCACACCCUUCUCCAUUACAAAACUCCUACUCAUCCCCCAAAGCCCCAGCUCCGAUGCUGACUUCUGCAGGCAACUAUUCCAGCUUCCAAUCUUGGCCCCACACAGCCCCAUCCUUCCCUCUGGCCCGAUCCACUAGGGAUGCACUCACCGCUGGCCUUGGCAGCCUGCACGCACAG
Molecule: long non-coding RNA, 344 nt
Filed under: Homo sapiens (human)
Lineage: Eukaryota; Metazoa; Chordata; Mammalia; Primates; Hominidae
Description: HSALNT0256701
Source: RNAcentral